GUACAAUUAUAAGUACAGUUUAACACAUUUGAGUGAGGUGCAACAGCAAGUGAAAUGUAGUCGUAGUAAUAUUGGUGGGAGAACUACCUGACUGAAUGAUAUUGCGAGGAAAAGACAAACAGAAUAAAGUAAACAUGAAAUUAAAAAAAAAAAGUAUAUUAACAGCGUGAGUAAAGUGCAAACGCAAAUGAAAUAGUUGUAGUAAUGGUAGAAGAAGGACGAUCUCAAUGAAGGAUGGUGGCGAAGAAAACACAGACCUACGGAGCCCCUAAAGGGACAAAAAAUGAAGAAACUUGUUUCUCAUUUGAAUGAGAAACGUCUACCUGUCUGUCUGCCUGUAUAUUCCUCGUUUUGAGGAAAGGGAGCAAAGUCCUCUCCUUUUGCCAUUCUCUCAGCUCACAAGCGCCGGAAGCAAGUUGUAAAGAAGCUCCUGUACGGCUACCCGAACGCAGGAAGCUACCGCUAGCAGCGUGGCGGCGUCGGCGCCCGGCGUGACCCUCGCUGUGGAUGCCAUCGAGGAUGAUGAUGCCGAUCAUCUCUGUCACUCGGGGGGGGGGGGGGGAUUUCAGGCCGCGGCGCGCUUACGCAACAGGUACCGGCUUCCCCUCAAUGUCAUCCGCGGCAUUGGCCUCCGCUCAGCGACGACAGUCGGGACCCGGAGCGAGCCGUCUGGCGACGUGCCCGAUCGGCAAGCGAGCCGUCCUAUCGCUGACGUCGAGUGAGCCGAAGAUGUCACGUCUUCAUCUUGUGAGACUUCAAUCCCCCUUUCAGGAUGCACGCGGGUCUCUGUCCUGUCCCUGAGUGUAGAGGCUCAUGUGUACAAAACAUCUCUUGGCUCAACAAAAGUUCAACUCAUUUGGGUUUGAGACUACAUUAUCAUCGGCAGCUCCAUUAUUUAGUUUUAUUCAACUAAAACUAUUCUGUACGUAUAGCGGGGGUCAGUGACCUUUUUGAAACUGAGAGCUACUUCUUGGGUACUGUUUAACGCAAAGAGCUACAAGUUUGAUAACGGUCCUUUUCACCUACUUUGAUCAAUAAUGGUAAAGACAUGGCCCCCAUUGAAUUUCCUUUAGAAAAUCCAUUCAUUUCACUGAUAUGAAUAUUUGAAUUAUUGGCCGUUGUUAGCCAUCAAAAGGUCAUAUUUGUUUCUAAGAGAGAAAUAUUCUGAAGAUAUAUUUUGUAAUUUUUUUUAAUGGCAAAAUGUCUUUACCGUUAUGUGUUCCAAAUGAAAUUUCAUAAUUUGCAAAAUGUUUUCUGAAGAUGUUAAAUAGGAUUUUUCUGCCUUUUCCAUGAAAAAUACCACAAAUGCAUCUUCUUGUCGAAAGAGUUCCUUUUGUUUGUUUCUUUUACAAACGCUCCUUCGUCACUCCGGCUGUCUUUACCGUUAAUUCCACUGGGUAGAGCCUCAUUAUGUUGUUGCAAUACACCAGCGGGAUCUGAAGGAUGAGGCGGCCAUUUAGCAUUCACACAACAGCAGACAGCAAAAUAAAUGGUGUUAUUUCUGAGUUAGGAAUGAAUAUGUAUGAAUUUGUGAACGUGUUGUAACUAUUCCAUGUUUUUACCGUUAUUACGAUUGUAUAAAAGCAAGAGACGAGACCAAUGGCUUUAACGAGUAGUUUGGAUAAUUUUAGCAAUUGUAUCUGCAUAGUUUGAAGGGCAACACACAACUCACUCAAUUUUUAUGAAGCUGUUUAUGUCACACACACUUUUGAAAAACCACAUUUUGUCAAUUCACCUUUCACAAUAUGUUAUUAAUAAUGAAUGAUAUUCACACGUGUGAAGACGCUGAUCCUGUUAAUGAUUUCUCGUAAUAAUUAUCAACAAUGAUUUCACAACAUAGGAAAGGCAUAUUCAAUAUCAAUAUGCCACACGUUAUUUCUAGAAAUCUCUGCACGUGUUUACAUUUUCAAAUGAUCACUUCUACAACAUAUCUUGGAAAUCACAAUGUCCUGUCACUGGUGAGCAACUCGUGGUUCUUGGGGCGACCUUUGUCCCCAUGGGUACCAUUUUGAUGACCUCUGUUGUAUAAGAUGCAUUUAUACAUUUAAGGCACAAAUUUGGAGGGAAAAAAAAAAAAAAAAAAAGGCCAAUGGCAUACCAAUGCAAACAUAUUUCAUAACAUUCGACAUAUUCCAAUCGGACCAUUGACAGUCCAUUAGCUAUUAAAAAUGAACGCGUCUUUCUUCCUCCUUUGUUUGCCCCGAAGCCGCUUGACUCGUUCUACUUGACUCCUGAACCAUUUCAAUAUCAGGCUGCUGUGGCUUUUCCUUCCUUGAAGCCAGCAUCGUCUUCAUAUUUCUGCUUGUGUUCUCUUCUCGAGGAGCUCAUAUGUCGGAAUGACGCUUACGGAGUCAGUCACCCUUUUCAUGAGCCCUUUCAAUAAGAUGGUGUGUUUGCAUGGUGCCACGGAGAAAUAUGUGUCAUGAAUUUGACUUUGUAUAUGUGUCACGUUGGCAACUAUAUUGGGAUUCAUUUGGAAUCCUUUUAAAUUAAUUCAUCCUAUUCGCAAAAAUCCGAGAAGUCAAUGUAUUCCAACGUGCCUGCUCAGCUUUGUUUAGGGCCCAGUGCAACAUCUUGUUAGCAGCUCAUAUUAAUCACUUUGGAAACGCCAUCAAUAAAGCAGCCCGACGGAAAAAUGGCAAUUAAGCACUUAUUGGCCCGGUGUGAUCAGUGUUGUCCAAGGUCAUGAGCAGACGUCAAUGGCCGUGUGUGUGUGUGUGUGUGUGUACGUGUGUUUCCCAAUACAAUACGACGGACACGUGUUAAUCUUGCUCAACUUUUUACUU
This is a long non-coding RNA of Phyllopteryx taeniolatus (common seadragon), 2786 nucleotides long. RefSeq lists it as uncharacterized. NCBI's taxonomy places the organism in Eukaryota, Metazoa, Chordata, Actinopteri, Syngnathiformes, Syngnathidae. The record is from RefSeq and is a predicted model, not a curated record. The transcript has 3 exons.